This 408-nucleotide ribosomal RNA is filed under the name uncultured bacterium. RNAcentral describes it as "bacterial SSU rRNA". It matches the Rfam family "Bacterial small subunit ribosomal RNA", at positions 354 to 776 of the family's 1533-position model. The record is from RNAcentral.
GCAAGGAAUUUUCCCCAAUGGGCGCAAGCCUGAGGGAGCAACGCCGCGUGCGGGAGGACGCCCUUCGGGGUGUAAACCGCUUUUCAGGGGGACGAAGCCAGUGACGGUACCCCUGGAAGAAGGCCCGGCUAACUACGUGCCAGCAGCCGCGGUAACACGUAGGGGCCGAGCGUUGUCCGGAGUUACUGGGCGUAAAGCGCGCGCAGGCGGCCCAGCACAUCUUUGGUGAAAGCCCCGGGCUUAACCCGGGAGGGUCCAGGGAGAUGGCUGGGCUGGAGGCAGGGCGAGGGCGGUGGAAUUCCGGGUGUAGUGGUGAAAUGCGUAGAGAUCCGGAGGAACACCAGUGGCGAAGGCGGCCGCCUGGACCUGUCCUGACGCUGAGGCGCGAAGGCGUGGGGAGCGAACGGG